Molecule: small nuclear RNA, 23 nt
Filed under: Arabidopsis thaliana (thale cress)
Lineage: Eukaryota; Viridiplantae; Streptophyta; Magnoliopsida; Brassicales; Brassicaceae
Description: snRNA_13921
Source: RNAcentral
CAAUACAUCUACUUUGUGUAGCU